Molecule: long non-coding RNA, 899 nt
Organism: Anolis sagrei ordinatus
Lineage: Eukaryota; Metazoa; Chordata; Lepidosauria; Squamata; Anolidae
Source: RefSeq, a predicted model, not a curated record
CUUUGCGUGAAGGAAAAAAGCUACAGCAAGUCGCGGGCGUUCCGCAUUUCGGUCGGCGCGGGACGAAGUAAAAUCCGUCUCCAUCGGACAAGCGAAAUGGCAGCGGAUGGAAGGUGGUUCGGAAAUGCUUCAAACUUUAGACUAAUUACCUGGAGAAAUAUGGAACUUGACGUCAUUUUCUUGAAAACGAUUUGUGUCACUUUUUGUUCGUUUGUGAAGUGAGCAUAAAUACCGGACACUGAAUCUUUGCAUCGAAAACAGUACUAUCUUCUGGAAAAGAUGAGACACCUGAUUCCUCUGGCUGGCAUCCUUUCCUGAAACUCAUCAAUGUCACUUUUUGUCUGUUUGAGAAGUGAGCUUAAAUGCUGGGCGCCAAAUCUCUGCUUUGAAAACAUCCCUAAAGAGAUGGGACACCUGAUUCCUCAAGCUGACAUAAUUUUUCCCUUCCUGAUACUCAUCCACAUAACUUUUUGUCUGUUGGAGGAGUGAGCUUCAAAUGCUAGGUGCUGUGGGUCUUCCUUUUGGAAAAGGUGCUGCUGGUUCAGGAGACGCAUAAACUUACCAUGUUGAGCUGUGAGAAAAGCAAAAUGGGCAAAAAGUAAAAUCCACAGGAAAUACAAUUUUAGAAAUGUCCAACAGGAGAAAAGUCAAUGAGAUGGGACAUUUGCCAAUCCAUCGUCAAGAAAUUUUCCCUUACACCUCUCAUAGAUGUUGCUCUCUUGACAACCUCCAGCACACGACAUCAGCUUAGCCCUUUCUCAAUGUUUUCUCCUCUUGUAUGAUCUAUUGUGAAUUAGUUUAUUUCCACUUAUGACAAAACUCCCACUUUUGGACUUUUAAAAAACAGGAUGUACAUAAAAUCAAUCACAAUUUUCCAUAGUAUAAAAUGCUACAAUAAA